This 944-nucleotide ribosomal RNA is filed under the name Escherichia coli. RNAcentral describes it as "partial 23S ribosomal RNA". It matches the Rfam family "Bacterial large subunit ribosomal RNA", at positions 1920 to 2858 of the family's 2925-position model. The record is from RNAcentral. Lineage: Bacteria; Pseudomonadati; Pseudomonadota; Gammaproteobacteria; Enterobacterales; Enterobacteriaceae.
CCGGUAAACGGCGGCCGUAACUAUAACGGUCCUAAGGUAGCGAAAUUCCUUGUCGGGUAAGUUCCGACCUGCACGAAUGGCGUAAUGAUGGCCAGGCUGUCUCCACCCGAGACUCAGUGAAAUUGAACUCGCUGUGAAGAUGCAGUGUACCCGCGGCAAGACGGAAAGACCCCGUGAACCUUUACUAUAGCUUGACACUGAACAUUGAGCCUUGAUGUGUAGGAUAGGUGGGAGGCUUUGAAGUGUGGACGCCAGUCUGCAUGGAGCCGACCUUGAAAUACCACCCUUUAAUGUUUGAUGUUCUAACGUUGACCCGUAAUCCGGGUUGCGGACAGUGUCUGGUGGGUAGUUUGACUGGGGCGGUCUCCUCCUAAAGAGUAACGGAGGAGCACGAAGGUUGGCUAAUCCUGGUCGGACAUCAGGAGGUUAGUGCAAUGGCAUAAGCCAGCUUGACUGCGAGCGUGACGGCGCGAGCAGGUGCGAAAGCAGGUCAUAGUGAUCCGGUGGUUCUGAAUGGAAGGGCCAUCGCUCAACGGAUAAAAGGUACUCCGGGGAUAACAGGCUGAUACCGCCCAAGAGUUCAUAUCGACGGCGGUGUUUGGCACCUCGAUGUCGGCUCAUCACAUCCUGGGGCUGAAGUAGGUCCCAAGGGUAUGGCUGUUCGCCAUUUAAAGUGGUACGCGAGCUGGGUUUAGAACGUCGUGAGACAGUUCGGUCCCUAUCUGCCGUGGGCGCUGGAGAACUGAGGGGGGCUGCUCCUAGUACGAGAGGACCGGAGUGGACGCAUCACUGGUGUUCGGGUUGUCAUGCCAAUGGCACUGCCCGGUAGCUAAAUGCGGAAGAGAUAAGUGCUGAAAGCAUCUAAGCACGAAACUUGCCCCGAGAUGAGUUCUCCCUGACCCUUUAAGGGUCCUGAAGGAACGUUGAAGACGACGACGUUGAUA